GACGAACGCUGGCGGCGUGCUUAACACAUGCAAGUCGAACGGAAAGGCCCUGCUUUUGUGGGGUUCUCGAGUGGCGAACGGGUGAGUAACACGUGAGUAACCUGCCCUUUACUUUGUGAUAACUUCAGGAAACUGGGGCUAAUACCUGAUAGGAUCUCCUGCUGCAUGGUGGGGGUUGGAUAUUUUCGGCGGUUGGGGAUGGACUCGCGGCUUAUCAGCUUGUUGGUUGGGUAGUGGCUUACCAAGGCUUUGACGGGUAGCCGGCCUGAGAGGGUGACCGGCAAAAUUGGGACUGAGAGAAGGCCCAGAAUCCAACGGGAGGCAGCAGGGGGGAAUAUUGCAAAAUGGGCGGAAGCCUGAUGAAGCAAAGCCGCGUGCGGGAUGAAGGCCUUCGGGUUGUAAACAGCUUUAGCCUGUGACGAAGCGUGAGUGACGGUAAUGGGUAAAGAAGCACCGGCUAACUACGUG
This 468-nucleotide ribosomal RNA is filed under the name uncultured bacterium. RNAcentral describes it as "partial 16S ribosomal RNA". It matches the Rfam family "Bacterial small subunit ribosomal RNA", at positions 28 to 507 of the family's 1533-position model. The record is from RNAcentral.